Molecule: ribosomal RNA, 499 nt
Filed under: uncultured bacterium
Lineage: Bacteria
Description: partial 16S ribosomal RNA
Rfam family: Bacterial small subunit ribosomal RNA
Source: RNAcentral
GACGAACGCUGGCGGCGUGCCUAAUACAUGCAAGUCGAGCGAAUCUGCUGGGAGCUUGCUCCUUGAUGAUUAGCGGCGGACGGGUGAGUAACACGUGGGUAACCUGCCUGUAAGACUGGGAUAACUCCGGGAAACCGGGGCUAAUACCGGAUAACUUUUUUCUUCGCAUGAGGGAGAAUUGAAAGAUGGCUUCGGCUAUCACUUACAGAUGGACCCGCGGCGCAUUAGCUAGUUGGUGAGGUAACGGCUCACCAAGGCGACGAUGCGUAGCCGACUUGAGAGGGUGAUCGGCCACACUGGGACUGAGACACGGCCCAGACUCCUACGGGAGGCAGCAGUAGGGAAUCUUCCGCAAUGGACGAAAGUCUGACGGAGCAACGCCGCGUGAGUGAUGAAGGGUUUCGGAUCGUAAAACUCGGUUGUUAGGGAAGAACAAGUAUCGUUCGAAUAGGGCGGUACCUUGACGGUACCUAACCAGAAAGCCACGGCUAACUACGUG